This 303-nucleotide ribosomal RNA is filed under the name uncultured bacterium. RNAcentral describes it as "partial 16S ribosomal RNA". It matches the Rfam family "Bacterial small subunit ribosomal RNA", at positions 507 to 807 of the family's 1533-position model. The record is from RNAcentral.
AGCAGCAGCCACGGGAAUACGUAGGUGGCAAGCGUUGUCCGGAAUUAUUGGGCGUAAAGGGCUCGCAGGCGGUUUCUUAAGUCUGAUGUGAAAGCCCCCGGCUCAACCGGGGAGGGUCAUUGGAAACUGGGAAACUUGAGUGCAGAAGAGGAGAGUGGAAUUCCACGUGUAGCGGUGAAAUGCGUAGAGAUGUGGAGGAACACCAGUGGCGAAGGCGACUCUCUGGUCUGUAACUGACGCUGAGGAGCGAAAGCGUGGGAAGCGAACAGGAUUAGAUACCCGCGUAGUCCCUGUCUCUUAUAC